Molecule: non-coding RNA, 107 nt
Organism: Cavia porcellus (domestic guinea pig)
Lineage: Eukaryota; Metazoa; Chordata; Mammalia; Rodentia; Caviidae
Source: Rfam
GUGCUCACCUCGGCAGCACAUAUACUAAAAUUGGAACGAUGCAGAGAAGGUUAGCAUGGCACCUGCACAAGGAUGACAAAAUGUCAAAGAAGCCACCAAACAAACUA